Molecule: transfer RNA, 86 nt
Filed under: Cyanobacteria bacterium HKST-UBA02
Lineage: Bacteria; Bacillati; Cyanobacteriota
Description: tRNA-Leu
Rfam family: tRNA
About the family: Transfer RNA (tRNA) molecules are approximately 80 nucleotides in length. Their secondary structure includes four short double-helical elements and three loops (D, anti-codon, and T loops). Further hydrogen bonds mediate the characteristic L-shaped molecular structure. tRNAs have two regions of fundamental functional importance: the anti-codon, which is responsible for specific mRNA codon recognition, and the 3' end, to which the tRNAs corresponding amino acid is attached (by aminoacyl-tRNA synthetases). tRNAs cope with the degeneracy of the genetic code in two manners: having more than one tRNA (with a specific anti-codon) for a particular amino acid; and 'wobble' base-pairing, i.e. permitting non-standard base-pairing at the 3rd anti-codon position.
Source: RNAcentral
GCCGAAGUGGCGAAACUGGCAGACGCAGCUGACUCAAAAUCAGCCGAGGCUUAAACCUCGUGUCGGUUCGAAUCCGACCUUCGGCA